CACGGUGCUUCUACCGGUGUGGUCACACCUGUUCCCAUUCCGAACACAGAAGUUAAGCACAUCAGGGCCGAUGAUACCGCGUAAGCGGAAAAGUAGGUCAGCGCCGGUU
RNAcentral lists this ribosomal RNA (109 nucleotides) under bacterium. The record is from RNAcentral.